ACCCAUGUUGAUGAGGUCAAGCCGAUCGAAAAAAAGAACAACAUCAGGUGGGGAUUCUCUAAUGAAUCUCUUCACAGAGAGCAUGGUCUUCCUAUUUCUUCUCACAUUACUUUUAGAUGAAGGUAAGAAGCCAGGGGUGUCGAUAAAAGUUACUCUGAUUCCACAUACAGUACCAACAAUCUCUUGGAUGCGAUCAGUGGCUGGUUCAAAUGCAUCAGUCAUCGUCUUUCUUUGAUCAAAUAUAGAAUUUAUGGUUG
RNAcentral lists this unclassified non-coding RNA (257 nucleotides) under Hevea brasiliensis (rubber tree). The record is from RNAcentral. Lineage: Eukaryota; Viridiplantae; Streptophyta; Magnoliopsida; Malpighiales; Euphorbiaceae.